AAUUGUUGGGAGAAAAAACUAUCACACUGUUGUUUUUUGAUCUACAAAUUAAUUAUGUGGUUAUUUGGAUUAAAAGGUGCCUCUGGUUUCUCUGCUUCAUCUACAGCUGAAGAAGUUACUCAAGGAAUUGAUGCUAAUGGACUCACUGCCAUUGUUACAGGAGCAUCUAGUGGUAUUGGUGCAGAAACAACGCGUGUUCUUGCAAUGCGAGGUGCGCAUGUAGUAAUGGCAGUUCGUAAUGUUAAAAGUGGCGAAGAAGUUAAGGAUAGUAUUCUUAAAGAGAUUCCUCAUGCCAAAAUUGAUGUAAUGGAGAUGGAUCUCGGUUCUAUGGAAUCCGUUAGGAAGUUUGCAUCGGAAUAUAACUCUACUGGUUAUCCUCUGAACAUUCUAAUCAACAAUGCAGGGGUUAUGGCUCCACCGUUCAUGCUUUCUCAAGACAAUAUUGAAUUACAGUUUGC
This 458-nucleotide unclassified non-coding RNA is filed under the name Hevea brasiliensis (rubber tree). The record is from RNAcentral. Lineage: Eukaryota; Viridiplantae; Streptophyta; Magnoliopsida; Malpighiales; Euphorbiaceae.